GCCGCUGUAGCUCAGUGGGAGAGCGUUCGGCUGAAGACCGAAAUGUCGUCGGUUCAAAUCCGACCAGCGGCACCA
RNAcentral lists this transfer RNA (75 nucleotides) under Candidatus Micrarchaeum sp. ARMAN-1. RNAcentral's name for it is "Candidatus Micrarchaeum acidiphilum ARMAN-1 tRNA-Phe". It matches the Rfam family "tRNA". From Rfam's summary of the family: Transfer RNA (tRNA) molecules are approximately 80 nucleotides in length. Their secondary structure includes four short double-helical elements and three loops (D, anti-codon, and T loops). RNAcentral also lists the same sequence under 2 other names. The record is from RNAcentral. Lineage: Archaea; Nanobdellati; Microcaldota; Candidatus Micrarchaeia; Candidatus Micrarchaeales; Candidatus Micrarchaeaceae.